GGGCUCGUAGCUCAGGAUGGUAGAGCACCGGGCUUUUAACCCGAUGGUCGCGGGUUCAAAUCCCGUCGAGCCCGCCA
RNAcentral lists this transfer RNA (77 nucleotides) under Candidatus Helarchaeota archaeon. Its description in RNAcentral is "tRNA-Lys". It matches the Rfam family "tRNA". Rfam says of the family: Transfer RNA (tRNA) molecules are approximately 80 nucleotides in length. Their secondary structure includes four short double-helical elements and three loops (D, anti-codon, and T loops). The record is from RNAcentral. Lineage: Archaea; Promethearchaeati; Candidatus Helarchaeota.